Cotesia glomerata is the source of this 724-nucleotide long non-coding RNA. RefSeq lists it as uncharacterized. The record is from RefSeq and is a predicted model, not a curated record. NCBI's taxonomy places the organism in Eukaryota, Metazoa, Arthropoda, Insecta, Hymenoptera, Braconidae. The transcript is spliced from 3 exons.
AGCUAUCCAAAUAUGGUCAAAGGGCAGCAUUGUGUUACCUGAAUUUACAAGACUCGGUAUUGAGCUGAAAUAAGUUUUGAUUUCUUUUGUAGCAUCAUCCUCGAUGUCAGUAAGCUUGAUUUAGCUUCUUUUCCGUGUGUACAUUCCUCCAUUAAGCUGUGGUAUGUGAAUUGGGAUGCAGAUAAGGCGUUUUCGAAGGUUUGCUUCAAGUAUUCAGACAGAUAAUAACUGAGUAAACUCACGGUUGAAAACUGACUGCUUGGCAUGGUCAAGAAUGACCAUCAAGAUUCUACAAAGUCUUACUUAAAAAGAGGAAGAUUUGUUUGUUGGUAUUUCUCAUUGGUUGAUGACAGAAGACUGACUGUGACACUGUCCCAACGCGUAAGUGCAAGCGUCACUCGUCAAUCUGGGCAGACAAUAUAUUAUAUCCCCUUAAACCUUAAAUUUUACCAUCAGUAAAUCCGUCUACCUGAAUUACCUCCCGGUUUUCUUCCAUCAUACCUUUUUACUCGUCAUAUUUAUCUCUUCAACCUUGAACGUGAGUACAUUUUAGAGACUUACGAUUAUUGUUAUAUAGAUCUUAAAUUUUUUUUUGUUCAAUUUCGCUGUAGUGAAAAAGAUUGAGAGGGGGGCAAAAUGCCUCUUCAAGAAAAUUGAGGGACAAAAAAUGAUAAAAUCUAAAUGACUUUUUUUCGUUUAACUUAGUCAUUUAUGAAAAAAAAAU